RNAcentral lists this long non-coding RNA (201 nucleotides) under Prunus persica (peach). Its description in RNAcentral is "long non-coding RNA (PPER_LNC004510)". Lineage: Eukaryota; Viridiplantae; Streptophyta; Magnoliopsida; Rosales; Rosaceae. The record is from RNAcentral.
CGGGCUAUAAGGUUGGAUGACUCUGUAGUUUUCCUGCCGUAGAGAAACGAAUCCCGAACGAAGGCAUAUCAAAUAUUCAAAGUCUUCUUUAGAAAUAUGAUCUUUAUCAGUCAGUUGUUUGCAUUCUGAAAAUACUGUUGCCAGACGACUCAUUUCCACUUUACCACAAGUCCGGAGUAAAGCUUGAGCUGUUGAAUGUUC